This 71-nucleotide transfer RNA is filed under the name Danio rerio (zebrafish). It matches the Rfam family "tRNA". Rfam says of the family: Transfer RNA (tRNA) molecules are approximately 80 nucleotides in length. Their secondary structure includes four short double-helical elements and three loops (D, anti-codon, and T loops). The record is from Rfam by way of RNAcentral. Lineage: Eukaryota; Metazoa; Chordata; Actinopteri; Cypriniformes; Danionidae.
GCAUUGGUGGUUCACUGGUAGAAUUCUCGCCUGCCACGUGGGAGACCCUGGUCGGGUUCCUGGCCAAUGCA